AAGGAGAUGGCUCAGAGGUUAAUAGCACUGGCUGCUCUUCCAGAAAACCUGGGUUCAAUUCCCAGUAACCAUA
RNAcentral lists this transfer RNA (73 nucleotides) under Mus musculus (house mouse). It matches the Rfam family "tRNA". From Rfam's summary of the family: Transfer RNA (tRNA) molecules are approximately 80 nucleotides in length. The record is from Rfam by way of RNAcentral. Lineage: Eukaryota; Metazoa; Chordata; Mammalia; Rodentia; Muridae.